UGGGUUGAACUACGCCGGAAAAGCCGUAGAGAUACGGUGUCCUUCGGGGCCGGCGAUAGGUGGUGCAUGGCUGUCGUCAGCUCGUGUCGUGAGAUGUUGGGUUAAGUCCCGCAACGAGCGCAACCCUUGUCCUAUGUUGCCAGCGGGUAAUGCCGGGGACUCGUAGGAGACUGCCGGGGUCAACUCGGAGGAAGGUGGGGAUGACGUCAAGUCAUCAUGCCCCUUACGCCCAGGGCUGGACACAUGCUACAAUGGCCGGUACAAAGGGCUGCUAUCCCGCGAGGGUGAGCGAAUCCCAAAAAGCCGGUCUCAGUUCGGAUUGGAGUCUGCAACUCGACUCCAUGAAGUCGGAGUCGCUAGUAAUCCCGGAUCAGCAACGCCGGGGUGAAUACGUUCCCGGGCC
This 403-nucleotide ribosomal RNA is filed under the name uncultured bacterium. RNAcentral describes it as "bacterial SSU rRNA". It matches the Rfam family "Bacterial small subunit ribosomal RNA", at positions 976 to 1380 of the family's 1533-position model. The record is from RNAcentral.